CAAUAGCGUAUAUUAAAGUUGUUGCAGUUAAAAAGCUCGUAGUUGGAUUUCUGGUUGAAGCGACCGGUCGGGCGUUGAUUCGUCUGCACUGGAGUCGGUUUUGGCCAUCCUCUAGGAAAGUGCGUCUGGUAUUAAGUUAUCGGGCGUAUGAUCCUGGUCUUUUACUGUGAAAAAAUUAGAUUGUUUAAAGCAGGCCUUCGCCUUGAAUACAUUAGCAUGGAAUAAUAAGAUAGGACUUUGGUCUAUUUUGUUGGUUUGCAGACCGAAGUAAUGAUUAAUAGGGAUAGUUGGGGGUAUUUAUAUUCCGAUGUCAGAGGUGAAAUUCUUAGAUUUUCGGAAGAUAAACUUAUGCGAAAGCAUUUACCAAGGAUGUUUNCAUUA
Molecule: ribosomal RNA, 381 nt
Filed under: uncultured eukaryote
Lineage: Eukaryota
Description: partial 18S ribosomal RNA
Rfam family: Eukaryotic small subunit ribosomal RNA
Source: RNAcentral